AGUCGAGGGGUAUAGUUCUUCGGAACUAGAGACCGGCGCACGGGUGCGUAACGCGUAUGCAAUCUACCUUUCACAGAGGGAUAGCCCAGAGAAAUUUGGAUUAAUACCUCAUAGUAUUAUAGAGUGGCAUCACUUUAUAAUUAAAGUCACAACGGUGAAAGAUGAGCAUGCGUCCCAUUAGCUAGUUGGUAAGGUAACGGCUUACCAAGGCAACGAUGGGUAGGGGUCCUGAGAGGGAGAUCCCCCACACUGGUACUGAGACACGGACCAGACUCCUACGGGAGGCAGCAGUGAGGAAUAUUGGACAAUGGGCGCAAGCCUGAUCCAGCCAUGCCGCGUGCAGGAUGACGGUCCUAUGGAUUGUAAACUGCUUUUGUACAGGAAGAAACACUGGUUCGUGAACCAGCUUGACGGUACUGUAAGAAUAAGGAUCGGCUAACUCCGUGCCAGCAGCCGCGGUAAUACGGAGGAUCCAAGCGUUAUCCGGAAUCAUUGGGUUUAAAGGGUCCGUAGGCGGUUUAGUAAGUCAGUGGUGAAAGCCCAUCGCUCAACGGUGGAACGGCCAUUGAUACUGCUAAACUUGAAUUAUUAGGAAGUAACUAGAAUAUGUAGUGUAGCGGUGAAAUGCUUAGAGAUUACAUGGAAUACCAAUUGCGAAGGCAGGUUACUACUAAUUGAUUGACGCUGAUGG
RNAcentral lists this ribosomal RNA (691 nucleotides) under Flavobacterium sp. S3.05.WAE.W.Kidney.N. RNAcentral describes it as "bacterial SSU rRNA". It matches the Rfam family "Bacterial small subunit ribosomal RNA", at positions 60 to 752 of the family's 1533-position model. The record is from RNAcentral. Lineage: Bacteria; Pseudomonadati; Bacteroidota; Flavobacteriia; Flavobacteriales; Flavobacteriaceae.